RNAcentral lists this transfer RNA (71 nucleotides) under Brevirhabdus pacifica. RNAcentral's name for it is "tRNA-Gln". It matches the Rfam family "tRNA". Rfam says of the family: Transfer RNA (tRNA) molecules are approximately 80 nucleotides in length. Their secondary structure includes four short double-helical elements and three loops (D, anti-codon, and T loops). Further hydrogen bonds mediate the characteristic L-shaped molecular structure. tRNAs have two regions of fundamental functional importance: the anti-codon, which is responsible for specific mRNA codon recognition, and the 3' end, to which the tRNAs corresponding amino acid is attached (by aminoacyl-tRNA synthetases). tRNAs cope with the degeneracy of the genetic code in two manners: having more than one tRNA (with a specific anti-codon) for a particular amino acid; and 'wobble' base-pairing, i.e. permitting non-standard base-pairing at the 3rd anti-codon position. The record is from RNAcentral. RNAcentral also lists the same sequence under 1 other name. Lineage: Bacteria; Pseudomonadati; Pseudomonadota; Alphaproteobacteria; Rhodobacterales; Paracoccaceae.
GGCCGCGUGGCGGAAUGGUUAGACGCACUGCCUAUGGCGGCACAUUCCGGGUUCGACUCCCGGCGCGGCCC